GAUGAAGAACGUAGCGAAAUGCGAUAAGUAAUGUGAAUUGCAGAAUUCAGUGAAUCAUCGUAUCUUUGAACGCACAUUGCGCCCUUUGGCAUUCCGAAGGGCACACCUGUCCGAGCGCCGUCGCACAACUGAGGCGCAGCCUUGCGUUGGCGGGCGACUUGUGAGUAGCGAGUCGCCGCCCAAACGAGACGGCGCCGCGCCGCGGCCGACGAAGCACGAAAGCGGAAGUCGACGCGGAGGCGGUUGCCUGUAGGAAGACACAGCUUGGCCUCGGAUCAGGUGGGGAUACCCGCUGAACUUAAGCAUAUCAAUAAGCGGAGGA
RNAcentral lists this unclassified non-coding RNA (322 nucleotides) under soil metagenome. RNAcentral describes it as "partial contains 5.8S ribosomal RNA, internal transcribed spacer 2, and large subunit ribosomal RNA". The stretch from base 1 to 120 matches the Rfam family "5.8S ribosomal RNA", at positions 35 to 154 of the family's 154-position model. The record is from RNAcentral.